RNAcentral lists this long non-coding RNA (359 nucleotides) under Ananas comosus (pineapple). Its description in RNAcentral is "long non-coding RNA (ACOM_LNC022203)". The record is from RNAcentral. Lineage: Eukaryota; Viridiplantae; Streptophyta; Magnoliopsida; Poales; Bromeliaceae.
AAAAAUUUUGAAUUUUUUUUUUUUUAAUUGAUUAGAUCAAUUCAAAUUUUAAAUAAAAGAAAAGGAAAGAUCUAAUUUGAUUAGAUCAAAUUGAUUUCUUGAUGAGAUCAAGAUGAUAUUUUUGUAGAUUAAAUUGUUGAUCAAAAUUAUAAUAAUCAAUAAGAUUGAUUAUUUUUAAUAAUUUAUUCUUUCGAAUCAUCGGUUAACGGUUAAUUAGAAUAUCCAAAAUUUAUUAUUAUGCAUGUGAUGUAUGAGAUACGGUGAUGAUCAUGGAUAGCAACCUAUUUAUUUUUGUUUCGACAUGUGAUGUAUGAUGUGUAUGCAGAAUCCUGUAAUUUUAAAUUUGUUUAAAUUAAGGA